Molecule: long non-coding RNA, 998 nt
Organism: Saccostrea cuccullata (small rock oyster)
Lineage: Eukaryota; Metazoa; Mollusca; Bivalvia; Ostreida; Ostreidae
Exons: 2
Source: RefSeq, a predicted model, not a curated record
UAGUCUUGCUUUUAUGGAAAAUUAUAACUUAUUUAAUUUUUCUCACUCUCAGAUAUAAUUGCUUUUCAAAAUCUUGUAAAUUGAGAUUGUGAUAGCCUGAUAGGACUGCCACUUAGAAUUAGACCAGAGUGUGACUGUGUCCAUUUUAAAAUGAUACAAUUUCCAAUCAUUUUUUUUCUUUGUCAUGUGUCCAAUAGAAUUUUCACUGCAUGUCAGGUGCAAGGAAAUGGGCAUGCAAGUAGUUUUUGGGACUUUUCUGAGCUCAUGCUAAAAACAAAAAAGUUAUUACUGUACGGUACUGUACUAACUUGAUCUAUUUUAAUUUCAGAUAUCCGUGGAACAAAUCAUCUGAAAACUAAGAGAGGAUGAAGAAUACUUCUGUUAAAAAGUUGAAGUAACUGAUGAGCAGAUCAAUCCAACUUGAACAUGAUAUCAUUUCUCCAAUGAUGAAAACAAGUCUCUCUAUACUCAAGCAUUGAUAUUUUUAAAGUCAACUGAAACUGGAACAGGUCAUACAUGCAGACUACAGUGAUGUGUUGCACAGUUCCGAAAACAUGCAGCCACUACUAGCAUAAGCAUGAUAAGUGUAAGUGGGUCAUCAAAGAAUGAGAACCACUCAAGGACUUUUCUGUUGGUUGAUGAUGGACUACAAACUGAAUUUUUAACAAAGGAAUCCACCUUGGUGCUUAUUGGCUACUUAUGAUGUGAACUUGUGCAUUUAUUAUACCAAGUAAUUUUACAUUUCCUUAAUAAUACUAGACUUGCAUAAACCGAAUUCAGGUUUAGUUGAUUGAUUGCAGUAAUGCAGUUCUAAGCUCCUCUCGCAAGAUUAUAUCUCUGAUGUAUGAGACAUCAUUAAAUGCAGACAUUUUCUCUGUCCUCCUGUCGUGACUUGAGGGCUCGGACUUAGCUGUAAAAAUGUUUAUGAUGCAAGAGAAAAAUGUUCAACCGAUGUAUGUAAAUGUUGAUAAUAACAUUAAAUAUUCUUUGAUAACUAG